RNAcentral lists this ribosomal RNA (510 nucleotides) under uncultured bacterium. RNAcentral's name for it is "bacterial SSU rRNA". It matches the Rfam family "Bacterial small subunit ribosomal RNA", at positions 28 to 547 of the family's 1533-position model. The record is from RNAcentral.
GGUGAACGCUGGCGGCGUGCCUAAGACAUGCAAGUCGUGCGGGCCGUGGGGUUUCUCGCGGCCAGCGGCGGACGGGUGAGUAACGCGUGGAUGACCUACCUGGAAGAGGGGGACAACCUGGGGAAACCCAGGCUAAUCCCCCAUGUGGACGCGUCCUGUGGGGCGUGUUCAAAGGGUCUUGCCCGCUUCCGGAUGGGUCCGCGUCCCAUCAGCUGGUUGGUGGGGUAAGAGCCCACCAAGGCGACGACGGGUAGCCGGUCUGAGAGGAUGGCCGGCCACAGGGGCACUGAGACACGGCCCCCACUCCUACGGGAGGCAGCAGUUAGGAAUCUUCCGCAAUGGACGCAAGUCUGACGGAGCGACGCCGCUUGGAGGAGGAAGCCCUUCGGGGUGUAAUCUUCUGAACCCGGGACGACACCCCUGAUGAGGGGACUGACGGUACCGGGGUAAUAGCGCCGGCCAACUCCGUGCCAGCAGCCGCGGUAAUACGGAGGGCGCGAGCGUUACCCG